Molecule: long non-coding RNA, 363 nt
Organism: Epinephelus fuscoguttatus (brown-marbled grouper)
Lineage: Eukaryota; Metazoa; Chordata; Actinopteri; Perciformes; Serranidae
Exons: 3
Source: RefSeq, a predicted model, not a curated record
CGCAAACGGUCUCUUUACAUCCAUAGUAGCAACUUGGAAGAGUCAAAAACUGUGUUGCAAACAGAUUUUUUUUAAUUUUAUUUUUAUAUUCAACAUGUUUAAGGGACUAUAAGGAAUCUGGGAAUGUCCCCAAAACAGUGAUUAAAGGAGAAUGCAGCCUAAAUUGAGAAUUUGGAAAUUGGUAUUUCCAUGGCCAAUAAGUUCAGUCAAUACUUGUGAACUUGAGGAACUCUCUCACAAAGCCAGAAACCAGAGAAAUGCUUCAUUUGUUUGGACACACUGCGAGAGAGGAAAUAACGCUCCAUAGCAGCAGGCCUCAGGAUACAAUAUUAUCAUGAUACUUAACUCACAAUACAAUGUUUU